UACGUAGGGUGCGAGCGUUAAUCGGAAUUACUGGGCGUAAAGCGCGCGUAGGCGGCUGUCUAAGUCGGAUGUGAAAUCCCCGGGCUUAACCUGGGAACUGCAUUUGUGACUGCAUCGCUGGAGUGCGGCAGAGGGGGAUGGAAUUCCGCGUGUAGCAGUGAAAUGCGUAGAUAUGCGGAGGAACACCGAUGGCGAAGGCAAUCCCCUGGGCCUGCACUGACGCUCAUGCACGAAAGCGUGGGGAGCAAACAGG
This 253-nucleotide ribosomal RNA is filed under the name uncultured bacterium. Its description in RNAcentral is "partial 16S ribosomal RNA". It matches the Rfam family "Bacterial small subunit ribosomal RNA", at positions 524 to 776 of the family's 1533-position model. The record is from RNAcentral.